UACGUAGGUGGCAAGCGUUGUCCGGAAUUAUUGGGCGUAAAGCGCGCGCAGGCGGUUCGGUCAGUCGGAUGUAUAAUCCCAAAGCUCAACUUUGGGCCGCAUCUGAUACUGCCGGACUUGAGUGCAGAAGAGGAAAGUGGAAUUCCACGUGUAGCGGUGAAAUGCGUAGAUAUCAGGAGGAACACCGGUGGCGAAGGCGGUGGUCUGGGCCGGAACUGACGCUGAGGAGCGAAAGCGUGGGGAGCGAACGGG
Molecule: ribosomal RNA, 252 nt
Filed under: uncultured bacterium
Lineage: Bacteria
Description: partial 16S ribosomal RNA
Rfam family: Bacterial small subunit ribosomal RNA
Source: RNAcentral